Molecule: ribosomal RNA, 467 nt
Filed under: uncultured bacterium
Lineage: Bacteria
Description: partial 16S ribosomal RNA
Rfam family: Bacterial small subunit ribosomal RNA
Source: RNAcentral
GACGAACGCUGGCGGCGUGCUUAACACAUGCAAGUCGAACGGAAAGGCACUGCUUUUGUGGGGUGCUCGAGUGGCGAACGGGUGAGUAACACGUGAGUAACCUGCCCUUGACUUUGGGAUAACUUCAGGAAACUGGGGCUAAUCUCGGAUAGGAUCUCCUGUUGGAUGGUGGGGGUUGGAAAGUUUCGGCGGUUGGGGAUGGACUCGCGUGUUAGCACCUUGUUGGUGGGGGGGUGGCAUACCAAGGCAUUGACGGGUAGCCGGCCUGAGAGGGUGACAGGCCACAUAGGACCUGAGACAGGGCCCAGCUGCCACAGGGGGCCACCGGGGGGAAUAUUGCACAAUGGGCGGAAGCCUGAUGCAGAAACGCCGCGUGCGGGAUGACGGCCUUCGGGUUGUAAACCGCUUUCGCCUGUGACGAAGCGUGAGUGACGGUAAUGGGUAAAGAAGCACCGGCUAACUACGUG